This 396-nucleotide unclassified non-coding RNA is filed under the name Hevea brasiliensis (rubber tree). Lineage: Eukaryota; Viridiplantae; Streptophyta; Magnoliopsida; Malpighiales; Euphorbiaceae. The record is from RNAcentral.
AUUUGGUCAUGCCCUUGAAGACUCACCUUCAAAAUCUUCCCUUGUCCAUUCACUGUCUGUCUGCAUCUCUCUGCUGGAUCCAAAAAGAUCAAUUCCAUCAUCCAUGAUGUAUUCUUUCCGGAACCAGCAGAUUUAUGAGUCUCCCGUGCAUGUCAAUCCAGACACUAUCGAUGCAAUGCUUCCUAAACUUAGUGGUUUGCUUGAGCUGUUGAAUGUGUCCUCUGAUGAGAAGGUUCUGCCAACAACAUAUGGAGAACUCAGGCCGCCUCUAGGAAAGCAUCGUUUAAAGGUAGUGGAAUUCAUUUCUGUGCUACUGAAGACUGGUAAUGAAGUUGCAGAGAGAGAAUUGAUCAGCUCUGGGACAAUUGAGAGGGUCCUGAAUCUAUUUUUUGAGUA